GGUUAAGCGACUAAGCGUACACGGUGGAUGCCCUGGCAGUCAGAGGCGAUGAAGGGCGUGCUAAUCUGCGAUAAGCGCCGGUAAGGUGAUAUGAACCGUUAUAACCGGCGAUACCCGAAUGGGGAAACCCAGUGUGACUCGUCACACUAUCAUUAACUGAAUCCAUAGGUUAAUGAGGCGAACCGGGGGAACUGAAACAUCUAAGUACCCCGAGGAAAAGAAAUCAACCGAGAUUCCCCCAGUAGCGGCGAGCGAACGGGGAGGAGCCCAGAGCCUGAAUCAGCAUGUGUGUUAGUGGAAGCGUCUGGAAAGGCGCGCGAUACAGGGUGACAGCCCCGUACACAAAAGCGCAUGUGCUGUGAGCUCGAUGAGUAGGGCGGGACACGUGGUAUCCUGUCUGAAUAUGGGGGGACCAUCCUCCAAGGCUAAAUACUCCUGACUGACCGAUAGUGAACCAGUACCGUGAGGGAAAGGCGAAAAGAACCCCGGCGAGGGGAGUGAAAAAGAACCUGAAACCGUGUACGUACAAGCAGUGGGAGCACAGGUUUACCUGUGUGACUGCGUACCUUUUGUAUAAUGGGUCAGCGACUUAUAUUCUGUAGCAAGGUUAACCGAAUAGGGGAGCCGGAGGGAAACCGAGUCUUAAUUGGGCGUUAAGUUGCAGGGUAUAGACCCGAAACCCGGUGAUCUAGCCAUGGGCAGGUUGAAGGUUGGGUAACACUAACUGGAGGACCGAACCGACUAAUGUUGAAAAAUUAGCGGAUGACCUGUGGCUGGGGGUGAAAGGCCAAUCAAACCGGGAGAUAGCUGGUUCUCCCCGAAAGCUAUUUAGGUAGCGCCUCGUGAAUUCAUCUCCGGGGGUAGAGCACUGUUUCGGCUAGGGGGCCAUCCCGGCUUACCAACCCGAUGCAAACUGCGAAUACCGGAGAAUGUUAUCACGGGAGACACACGGCGGGUGCUAACGUCCGUCGUGAAGAGGGAAACAACCCAGACCGCCAGCUAAGGUCCCAAAGUCAUGGUUAAGUGGGAAACGAUGUGGGAAGGCCCAGACAGCCAGGAUGUUGGCUUAGAAGCAGCCAUCAUUUAAAGAAAGCGUAAUAGCUCACUGGUCGAGUCGGCCUGCGCGGAAGAUGUAACGGGGCUAAACCAUGCACCGAAGCUGCGGCAGCGACACUGUGUGUUGUUGGGUAGGGGAGCGUUCUGUAAGCCUGUGAAGGUGGCCUGUGAGGGUUGCUGGAGGUAUCAGAAGUGCGAAUGCUGACAUAAGUAACGAUAAAGCGGGUGAAAAGCCCGCUCGCCGGAAGACCAAGGGUUCCUGUCCAACGUUAAUCGGGGCAGGGUGAGUCGACCCCUAAGGCGAGGCCGAAAGGCGUAGUCGAUGGGAAACAGGUUAAUAUUCCUGUACUUGGUGUUACUGCGAAGGGGGGACGGAGAAGGCUAUGUUGGCCGGGCGACGGUUGUCCCGGUUUAAGCGUGUAGGUGUGUGUUCCAGGUAAAUCCGGUUCACUUUAACACUGAGGCGUGAUGACGAGGCACUACGGUGCUGAAGCAACAAAUGCCCUGCUUCCAGGAAAAGCCUCUAAGCAUCAGGUAACAUCAAAUCGUACCCCAAACCGACACAGGUGGUCAGGUAGAGAAUACCAAGGCGCUUGAGAGAACUCGGGUGAAGGAACUAGGCAAAAUGGUGCCGUAACUUCGGGAGAAGGCACGCUGACACGUAGGUGAAGUGAUUUACUCAUGGAGCUGAAGUCAGUCGAAGAUACCAGCUGGCUGCAACUGUUUAUUAAAAACACAGCACUGUGCAAACACGAAAGUGGACGUAUACGGUGUGACGCCUGCCCGGUGCCGGAAGGUUAAUUGAUGGGGUCAGCGCAAGCGAAGCUCCUGAUCGAAGCCCCGGUAAACGGCGGCCGUAACUAUAACGGUCCUAAGGUAGCGAAAUUCCUUGUCGGGUAAGUUCCGACCUGCACGAAUGGCGUAAUGAUGGCCAGGCUGUCUCCACCCGAGACUCAGUGAAAUUGAACUCGCUGUGAAGAUGCAGUGUACCCGCGGCAAGACGGAAAGACCCCGUGAACCUUUACUAUAGCUUGACACUGAACAUUGAGCCUUGAUGUGUAGGAUAGGUGGGAGGCUUUGAAGUGUGGACGCCAGUCUGCAUGGAGCCGACCUUGAAAUACCACCCUUUAAUGUUUGAUGUUCUAACGUGGACCCGUAAUCCGGGUUGCGGACAGUGUCUGGUGGGUAGUUUGACUGGGGCGGUCUCCUCCUAAAGAGUAACGGAGGAGCACGAAGGUUGGCUAAUCCUGGUCGGACAUCAGGAGGUUAGUGCAAUGGCAUAAGCCAGCUUGACUGCGAGCGUGACGGCGCGAGCAGGUGCGAAAGCAGGUCAUAGUGAUCCGGUGGUUCUGAAUGGAAGGGCCAUCGCUCAACGGAUAAAAGGUACUCCGGGGAUAACAGGCUGAUACCGCCCAAGAGUUCAUAUCGACGGCGGUGUUUGGCACCUCGAUGUCGGCUCAUCACAUCCUGGGGCUGAAGUAGGUCCCAAGGGUAUGGCUGUUCGCCAUUUAAAGUGGUACGCGAGCUGGGUUUAGAACGUCGUGAGACAGUUCGGUCCCUAUCUGCCGUGGGCGCUGGAGAACUGAGGGGGGCUGCUCCUAGUACGAGAGGACCGGAGUGGACGCAUCACUGGUGUUCGGGUUGUCAUGCCAAUGGCACUGCCCGGUAGCUAAAUGCGGAAGAGAUAAGUGCUGAAAGCAUCUAAGCACGAAACUUGCCCCGAGAUGAGUUCUCCCUGAGACUUAGAGUCUCCUGAAGGAACGUUGAAGACGACGACGUUGAUAGGCCGGGUGUGUAAGCGCAGCGAUGCGUUGAGCUAACCGGUACUAAUGAACCGUGAGGCUUAACCUU
Molecule: ribosomal RNA, 2907 nt
Filed under: Salmonella enterica subsp. enterica serovar Newport
Lineage: Bacteria; Pseudomonadati; Pseudomonadota; Gammaproteobacteria; Enterobacterales; Enterobacteriaceae
Also listed under: 1 other name
Description: 23S ribosomal RNA
Rfam family: Bacterial large subunit ribosomal RNA
Source: RNAcentral